CGCGCGGUAGAGCAGUAGGUAGCUCGUUGGGCUCAUAACCCAAAGGUCGCAGGUUCGAGUCCUGCCCGCGCUACUA
This 76-nucleotide transfer RNA is filed under the name Flavobacteriaceae bacterium. Its description in RNAcentral is "tRNA-Met". It matches the Rfam family "tRNA". Rfam says of the family: Transfer RNA (tRNA) molecules are approximately 80 nucleotides in length. Lineage: Bacteria; Pseudomonadati; Bacteroidota; Flavobacteriia; Flavobacteriales; Flavobacteriaceae. The record is from RNAcentral.